UUAAUUGUUAAAAAGUAAUGUUUGUUAAAACAGUGGGAGGAGUCACUGGCUAUAUAAGAGGGCUUUGUUCAGUUCCCUCUGGUAUUUUUUUUUUGUCUGGCAUGAAGGAGGUAGCUUGCUGAGCAGUGUCUGUUCACUGGACCAGUCUGUGAUUGGGUUUUUUUUGUAAGUAAUCUUUUGAGUUGUUCUUUUUGUUCUCCUCACUUUUUUUUUCUUGUAAAGAUCCUGCACUGCACUAUGGCCGGCACCAAUAAAAAUUUCACCUAAAUUUUACCCAACUACGCCUGUGGGUCUUCGAAACGUCAGUGAAGAAGAGAACCUCGCAACAGUUGACCCCCAAGGAUUUCUCCCGGGCCCAUUAAAGUCACAUUACCCAUCCAUCUUUCUCUUCAUUCAUUGACUUACAACCGCUUAUCUGAUGUGUCACGGUGGCUGCAGGAUAAGCAAGUGAGUACAAAAAUUUUCUCCAUCAGCAACAUUUUUUUGCUGCUUCAGUGGAUACCAGAGUGUCCCAGGUGAGAAAUGUAAUUGAAGUUGGAUGUCUCUGGAAAACUCUUCAUUUGGAUGGUGCCUAAAAUGCAUCCUAUUCAGAUGCCAAACCCCACCUUACCUGGCUUCCUAUGAUGGAAAAGAGGGAUGUCUGGACUCCUUCCCCAUUCCCUAAACCUUAAGCUGAGCCCAUGUCAUCCUGUAUUGCCAGCUUGUCGCAGUUACUUGCACUCCCUAUCUAAUUCUGUUGGUCGCCACCCAAGACUCAUGACUGUAGGCCAAGUUUGGAAAGAAGAUCCAGCACUCUCUUCAUCCCAAUUAUUUUCAAUCUCUGCAUACCUGAUGAUGCACCAACCCACCUGUCAACAUUGCCGUUCAUGUUUCUCUUAUUCUUGUUAAAUCCUGAGAGACAUUUGAAGUCUUUUGUAAGUCCUUAUGUCCAAAUCAACAACCUCUGGUCCCACUCUUAAAGAUGAGGAUCAUCAUUGUAGUCUGUAACUCUUCAGGCAGUCCCUUUCCUCUAUAUAAGACUGAAGAGCCAUGUCAGAGAUAUCCAGUCUCUACAGCAGCUCCUCUAAACCUGCCACCUCUCUGCAGAAGACUUAACAUCAUAUAAGAAGGUUUUCCAUCUGCAUGUCCUGAUGCCAAUAUUUAAGAGGAUUUAUGAGGAUGAUACUGUAGUUUAAGUCUGUAGCAGUAUGACAAGUUACGAAUAAACUCCAACACUUCAUGGUU
This is a long non-coding RNA of Notolabrus celidotus (New Zealand spotty), 1224 nucleotides long. RefSeq lists it as uncharacterized. Lineage: Eukaryota; Metazoa; Chordata; Actinopteri; Labriformes; Labridae. The record is from RefSeq and is a predicted model, not a curated record. The transcript has 2 exons.